AACAAUGUCCAAGGCGGAGUGGUUAACGCGCUGCCCUGCUAUACUCGCCAGGCAGUUCCUUCGGGAGCGUGUGUUCGAAUCACACAGGUGUCG
Non-coding RNA from Taxawa tesnikishii (nom. ined.), 93 nucleotides. Lineage: Eukaryota; Fungi; Ascomycota; Dothideomycetes; Dothideales. The record is from the annotation of a GenBank genome assembly.